ACGCUGGCGGCAGGCCUAACACAUGCAAGUCGAGCGGAAACGACACUAACAAUCCUUCGGGUGCGUUAAUGGGCGUCGAGCGGCGGACGGGUGAGUAAUGCCUAGGAAAUUGCCUUGAUGUGGGGGAUAACCAUUGGAAACGAUGGCUAAUACCGCAUAAUGCCUACGGGCCAAAGAGGGGGAUCUUCGGACCUCUCGCGUCAAGAUAUGCCUAGGUGGGAUUAGCUAGUUGGUGAGGUAAUGGCUCACCAAGGCGACGAUCCCUAGCUGGUCUGAGAGGAUGAUCAGCCACACUGGAACUGAGACACGGUCCAGACUCCUACGGGAGGCAGCAGUGGGGAAUAUUGCACAAUGGGCGAAAGCCUGAUGCAGCCAUGCCGCGUGUAUGAAGAAGGCCUUCGGGUUGUAAAGUACUUUCAGUUGUGAGGAAGGGKGURWSGUUAAUAGCKKYRYMUCUUGACGUUAGCAACAGAAGAAGCACCGGCUAACUCCGUGCCAGCAGCCGCGGUAAUACGGAGGGUGCGAGCGUUAAUCGGAAUUACUGGGCGUAAAGCGCAUGCAGGUGGUUCAUUAAGUCAGAUGUGAAAGCCCGGGGCUCAACCUCGGAACUGCAUUUGAAACUGGUGAACUAGAGUGCUGUAGAGGGGGGUAGAAUUUCAGGUGUAGCGGUGAAAUGCGUAGAGAUCUGAAGGAAUACCAGUGGCGAAGGCGGCCCCCUGGACA
This 723-nucleotide ribosomal RNA is filed under the name Vibrio sp. 14E02. RNAcentral's name for it is "bacterial SSU rRNA". It matches the Rfam family "Bacterial small subunit ribosomal RNA", at positions 33 to 735 of the family's 1533-position model. Lineage: Bacteria; Pseudomonadati; Pseudomonadota; Gammaproteobacteria; Vibrionales; Vibrionaceae. The record is from RNAcentral.